This is a long non-coding RNA of Rhododendron vialii, 2586 nucleotides long. RefSeq lists it as uncharacterized. NCBI's taxonomy places the organism in Eukaryota, Viridiplantae, Streptophyta, Magnoliopsida, Ericales, Ericaceae. The transcript is spliced from 2 exons. The record is from RefSeq and is a predicted model, not a curated record.
UGUUGUAGAGCUCAUCAAGAAGGUAAAUCGUGUUGAAGAACAUAUUGAUCGAGUGCUGAUUGAUGCACAAUCGAAGAUGAUAUAAGUGAAAUUAUUUUUACGAAAAUAGAUAUGGUCACACUGUAUCACAUCCAUUUUAUCGGAGAAUAAAUUAACUCUGACGAAAGAAACGUCCCCGACGAAGAGUUCAUCUUCCAUCCUUCAACCCUAACUGAUAACCAGUCAGCUAAGUUCAAUUUUGUACAGAUUUCAUUGUUCUCGGCAAACUUCUCUCUACUCCAUUCCAAGUUUGAGAACAAUUGUGUUUAUGAGAGAUUUCAUGGUCACUUGAAUUUUACCUUAAUCUCUUGAUGAUCUCUUUACACCUAUUAAUUGCGACAACAAUGAAAGAAAAUUUCUUGCUCCAUUGCAUGCUUAAAUUGAGACAAUUGUUAUACUUUACUUUGUGUAUUACUGCUUUUGCAAGCACUGGUUUUUGCUAGAAUCGAAAUGAUUGCUUUCAGUUUGGACUUCACUCCUUUGAAGAUACAUUUUUUUUGGAAGAGUAAAGCCUUACUUUUUGAAGCUCGUUAAAGUUUUCAACCGAGCUCGAAUAAGCCACUAAUCGGCUCAUUUAUCACCUCUAAUCCUUUGGGAUCUGCUCGUCUAAUAGCUAAGCUUGAACACAUUUUCGAAGCUUUUUAAGCUUUCAAACCCAACUUGAUCAACCUCUUGCUUGGCUCAAUGGGCUCAUUAAUCAUCCCUAAAUCCUGGGUUUGUCCAAAACUUGUCCUGAAUGUGCAUCAACUGUAUGUGCUCGCCUACUCAGACCUGAGAGAUUUUCCAUUUUGCCAUCAAUUAGAGAAAAGCAUGCAUUCAUGAGAUGUGUUAUCGUGUUCUGUUGAUAAAGAACCUUACAUAGUGUAGUAAGUUUAACUUCAUUGGCCACAAAUCUCUCUUAAGUUCUCGAAAUACCACCCAUCUGGUUUAUGCUUUUCGUUUGGAGCUAAUGGUUUUUGUACUGCAAAGCAUGUUGGGAUUUGUUUUUAUCCUUUUCCUCAUCUUUGUUGAUACUGGUUGCUGUGACAUUUGUUUUUACCCUUUUUCCCAAAAGCAUGAAAAGAAAAGGGGGUUCACAUGAGUCUCCUUGAAGAACUAAGAGACUUAAGCUCGCCUAGCCGCCUGCUACUCGAAGGGCAGUUGAUGACAUUCGUCUCUGCGGCUGGCACUCAGAGGAACCACAGCGACUCUGUUUGCUUGCAUUCUCUAUCGCAUGAAGUGAGCACUGCAGACUGCACACCCAUGAGAAAUAAGCCAAAGCACGAGCACACUUCUUGCCUCAGUACCUUUUACCAGAACCCUCACAUGAUCCAAUUUUCAUGUUCAAUUGUUCUAGAAAUUGAAAGCAGAGUUUUUCUAUUACUUAAUCUAUAUAGUAGAAGCAAGCUCAGAAAGGAGAAUUUCCAAGUCAUUGCUUCUCUUCAGAUCAAACUUUAACUCGACGGAUUUCAGUGCCAUCCAAAUACUAAUUCACAUGGUGAAGUGGCCUAGUAACAUGUUCACGAUUGCUACUUUUUCAACUUAUAUAUGAGUACCCGUUUAGAUAGUGAUUUUGUCUUUUAUUGUUUUAAGUAUUGUACUAGCUUACUAGGAUUGAAGGCUCACUAUUUCAUGUAGGGAUAGUAUUUGCAGAGUUGUCUUUUCGGAUUCAUUCGACCAUCACGCGGGGUAUGGUUGCAGCAACGCAUUGAUAACAUAUUAUGCUUGGGAAAAGGAUUGUGUCCCUUCGUCAAAGGAUAGUAAAAGGAAAGGUGUUUGAUAUGCGCCCUUCCCAUUUUAGGGAUGUAGAACUCGUCUUUGUGCAAGAAGCUUUCCCUUGCUUUUUACUGUAACUGCAGAAUUAUGAAGACAAAUGGUUCACAGUGCUUCUGGCAUUCCAGAUUGUCUGAUGAAAUGCCCAUGAAUAAAAGAACCUUGUUUUUCUUCUUCUUCUGAAGAAAGAACUUGAACAUUCCCAGGUACUGUUCACGAUCCAAGAACGAUCCACUUUUUACCCUUGAAAUAUUUCUAAAUCAGGCAGAAGCCAACCCAAACACGUUGCCCAAUGCUGUUGCCUUUUCAUCCUCUAGAAAACCACUUUAUUCGAUAUCACCCAGUUUUCUGUAAGUGUAGCAACAUGAAUUUCAUAAUUUUUUCUUGGUACUGUCUGGAUGAAGAUUACAUGGAGAUAUAAAUUCGAGUAUUAUUGUUGUAAGUGCUGGUCCUUUGGUUGUUUUUGCAGGAAUCUUAGAGCCGAAGCAACUCUGCUUUCUUAUGGCAUUUUGGAGACCCCAGAUAUGUACAACGAAGUACUUCUAUGCGAUUUUGAAGUAUUUGAAUGCAGUACACCAUGACGCAUGGCCAAUAUGUAUAGCUUGUUACGAGUACGUUCUAUACAAGUUCAAGGCCGUUUUCCUCUACAAAUUUGUGUAGGCUUCAUCACAAAGUGUGUGGCUCUUGUACCAAUAAUGUGUCGUAGAGAAGGGCAUUAAAUCACCAUGUGGUAGUGCUCUAAGAGCACUCAAUCAGAGCUAAAGAUCCCAAAACAAGCUCAACACACCUCAAGUA